This 466-nucleotide ribosomal RNA is filed under the name uncultured bacterium. Its description in RNAcentral is "partial 16S ribosomal RNA". It matches the Rfam family "Bacterial small subunit ribosomal RNA", at positions 29 to 507 of the family's 1533-position model. The record is from RNAcentral.
AUGAACGCUGGCGGCGUGCUUAACACAUGCAAGUCGAACGGAAAGGCUCCUGCUUGCAGGGGUACUCGAGUGGCGAACGGGUGAGUAACACGUGGGUGAUCUGCCCUGCACUUCGGGAUAAGCCUGGGAAACUGGGUCUAAUACCGGAUAGGACCACAUUUUGGAUGGUGUGGUGGAAAGUUUUUCGGUGUGGGAUGAGCUCGCGGCCUAUCAGCUUGUUGGUGGGGUAAUGGCCUACCAAGGCGUCGACGGGUAGCCGGCCUGAGAGGGUGUACGGCCACAUUGGGACUGAGAUACGGCCCAGACUCCUACGGGAGGCAGCAGGGGGGAAUAUUGCACAAUGGGCGCAAGCCUGAUGCAGCGACGCCGCGUGGGGGAUGACGGCCUUCGGGUUGUAAACUCCUUUCGCUAGGGACGAAGCGUUUUUGUGACGGUACCUGGAGAAGAAGCACCGGCUAACUACGUG